Molecule: ribosomal RNA, 494 nt
Filed under: uncultured bacterium
Lineage: Bacteria
Description: partial 16S ribosomal RNA
Rfam family: Bacterial small subunit ribosomal RNA
Source: RNAcentral
GACGAACGCUGGCGGCGUGCUUAACACAUGCAAGUCGAACGGAAAGGCCUGCUUUCCCUUGUGGAUUGCGGGUACUCGAGUGGCGAACGGGUGAGUAACACGUGAGUGAUCUGCCCCCAACUUGGGUAUAAGCCUGGGAAACUGGGUCUAAUUCCCGAUAGGACUGCAGGGUGGUGCCUGUGGUGGAAAACGAUUUUCUAGUGGUUGGGGAAGAGCUCGCGGCCUAUCAGCUUGUUGGUGGGGUAAUGGCCUACCAAGGCGGCGACGGGUAGCCGGCCUGAGAGGGUGGACGGCCACAUUGGGACUGAGAUACGGCCCAGACUCCUACGGGAGGCAGCAGUGGGGAAUAUUGCACAAUGGGCGGAAGCCUGAUGCAGCGACGCCGCGUGGGGGAUGACGGCCUUCGGGUUGUAAACUCCUUUCGACCGCGAGGAAGCCACCUGGUUGGAAGGGUGGUGACGGUAGUGGUAGAAGAAGCACCGGCUAACUACGUG